AGUGAACGCUGGCGGUAGGCCUAACACAUGCAAGUCGAACGGCAGCACAGUAAGAGCUUGCUCUUACGGGUGGCGAGUGGCGGACGGGUGAGGAAUACAUCGGAAUCUACUUUUUCGUGGGGGAUAACGUAGGGAAACUUACGCUAAUACCUCAUACUACCUACGGCUGAAAUCAGGGGAUCUUCGGACCUUGCGCGAUUGAAUUAGCCGAUGUCGGAUUAGCUAGUUGGCGUGGUAAAGUCCCACCAAGGCGACGAUCCGUAGCUGACCUGAGAGGAUGAUCGGCCACACUGGAACUGAGACACGGUCCAGACUCCUACGGGAGGCAGCAGUGGGGAAUAUUGCGCAAUGGGCGAAAGCCUGACGGAGCAAUGCCGCGUGAGUGAAGAAGGUCUUCGGGUCGUAAAACUCUGUUGUUAGGGAAGAACAGAUGUGGAUUAAACUGCGGAUGUCUUGACGGUACCUAAACAGAAAGCAACGGCUAACUUCGUG
This 492-nucleotide ribosomal RNA is filed under the name uncultured bacterium. Its description in RNAcentral is "partial 16S ribosomal RNA". It matches the Rfam family "Bacterial small subunit ribosomal RNA", at positions 29 to 507 of the family's 1533-position model. The record is from RNAcentral.